CUGUGGAGUGUUAUAUCAAAUGUUAGUAGUGUAAUUUAUUAUAUGAGGACAGACACAUUGAAACAGUAA
RNAcentral lists this small RNA (69 nucleotides) under uncultured Clostridium sp. RNAcentral's name for it is "RAGATH-18 RNA". It matches the Rfam family "RAGATH-18 RNA". From Rfam's summary of the family: Actinobacteria, Firmicutes, Fusobacteria, Thermotogae (1 example). Nearby to self-cleaving ribozyme genes The record is from RNAcentral. Lineage: Bacteria; Bacillati; Bacillota; Clostridia; Eubacteriales; Clostridiaceae.